RNAcentral lists this ribosomal RNA (253 nucleotides) under uncultured bacterium. RNAcentral describes it as "partial 16S ribosomal RNA". It matches the Rfam family "Bacterial small subunit ribosomal RNA", at positions 524 to 776 of the family's 1533-position model. The record is from RNAcentral.
UACGUAGGGUGCAAGCGUUGUCCGGAAUUAUUGGGCGUAAAGAGCUCGUAGGCGGUCUGUCGCGUCGGCUGUGAAAGCUCGGGGCUCAACCCCGAGCCUGCAGUCGAUACGGGCAGACUAGAGUGCUGUAGGGGAGACUGGAAUUCCUGGUGUAGCGGUGAAAUGCGCAGAUAUCAGGAGGAACACCGGUGGCGAAGGCGGAUCUCUGGGCAGUAACUGACGCUGAGGAGCGAAAGCGUGGGGAGCGAACAGG